Molecule: long non-coding RNA, 1782 nt
Filed under: Homo sapiens (human)
Lineage: Eukaryota; Metazoa; Chordata; Mammalia; Primates; Hominidae
Description: non-protein coding ZNF667-AS1:3
Source: RNAcentral
AGAAUCCACCGGGGUGCAGCGAGGCUGUGGAAAGUCCCACCCAGAACGUGAGGUGAAGAAGGCUUGGGCUGCGCUGGUUCUGCUCUGUCCGGGUCGGAGAUGAACUGACCCGGGAGAGCAGCGGAGGGAUGUUUCUUUUGGCCAACAGUGGGGACUCACCUGCACGUUUUGCGAAGAGGCCCACAGUCCUUUGCGUGGCGCUCGGACUACAUUUCCCAACGGCCCCUGCACGCCCUGGGGGCUGUUCCAUGCGGUGUUGCGCCUGCGUAGCCGGCGGGCUGGCAGUGAGACUGACUGCGUCGGGGUUGAGACUGGGUGGAUGAGGCUCACCCCGGCGGGGAGAAGGGACGAGGAGGGGCGGACAGCGGAAGGUCCGGGAGUGUCCGCCAUAAAGUCGUUUGAGGUGACCGUUGCGUAAUUGUGAGUCUGUGAGAGAAGAUGUGAAGUAUGGCCUCGUCCCGGUCAUCUGGGCGUGCGGGUCCCGGGUUUUGAUCGCGCGUUUGUGUAGUUUUAACUUCUAGUCAUGGCGAAUGAUCGCAGGAGAGCACAGACUGGACCCUGCUACGAUCUCUCUUGGAGUGGAUCAGACUGAUGAUCACCAACAACCAACUCAUUCCCGGAUAAGGAAGAAGAGAGUGUCACCUACUUCAGUGUGGUUUCAACCCUACUUCUGCAUCUUAAAGACACUGUAUGGUUUCAGCAGUAGUGCCCCUGUUCAUUAGUCCCCCUGAUGUUUUCAUUCCUCAUCUCAUCUUUUUCUUAGCAGCAUUCAAUGAAUCCUUCAUUCUAGAAACACUCUAUAUCUUUGGUUUUCAUGAGACCAUUCUCACCUUGUUUUGUCCUGUGACUUUUUUGAAAAAAACAAAAACAAAAAACCCUUUUUUUCUUUUUAAAUUCUGGUAAAAAACACAAUGAAAAUUUGCUAUCUUAACCAUGUUGAAAUGUGCAGUUAGUAAAGUACAUUCACAUUGUGGUGCAAGCCAUCACUACCAUCCAUCACUAGAACCCUUUUCAUCUUGCAGAUCUGAAACUCUACCCAUUAAACGACUUCCCAUCUUCCCAUCCCCACAGCUCCUAGCAACCAACAUUCUACUUUCUCUAUCAGUUUGACUACUCUAGGUACCUCAUAUGAGUAGAAUCAUACAGCAUUUAUCCUUCUCUGCCUGGCUUAUUUCACUUGUAUAAUGUCCUCAAGGUUCAUUCAUGUUGUAGCAUGCAUCAGAACUUCCUCCCCUUUUAAAGGCUGGAUAAUAUUUCAUGGUAUGUUUAGAUCACAUUCUGUUUAUCCAUUCAUCCAUCAGUGAACACUUGUGCUCCUUCCAACUUUGGGCUGUUGGGUGUCCUGCCACUGUUGCUCCUAGUGCUCAAUCUCGUUUAUUCCCUCCUAAUCAAGUGUACAACGUUGGACACUGUGCAGGAUGAUGCCACUUCAUCUUGGAUGCUAAUCUGCCAUGUUGACUUCUGAUUAACCCCAGGCCCAGGAAUGCCUCAAGAUUUCUACUUUACUUACUGUUGCUUGUGUAAGCCAAGACAACCUUGAUGUUAUCAUAAACAUGUACUUACCUAAGUCCUGUCCUUUGGCAAAUUAUGGGCUAUGAGACACAGCAUUCUUGCCUUUCCCUGAGGGGUCAAUUUCAGCGAUCCUACACAUUCCUUCUGAAGCACUUAUGCUCUUUCUAUAUGGUAUGUAAGCUCUCGGUCUGGGGAGUAACAGUGCAGAGAUCUACCUGUCUUGUUGCCACAUGUUUCUAAACUUUCCAAUAAAUCACCUUCUACUGACAA